UUCAGUGGGUGAGGGAUUCAUCAUCACGUUGAAAACGUCCUGGCACCCUCUGCUGAUCUUGACACAGUGAUGAGAACAGCGAUACGGAGUGGCCCCUUCCUGCUGAGCUACAUGGGAUUUCUUGGCCCCUGUUGUCAUGGCAGCUGAGAUUGAAGAAGAAUUGCAGAUGUCAGACAGCACUCAUACACAGCAGCAACAUGUGACUGGCAGGUCUGCCAGUGCGUGGGUGAACCUGUCGCUUUGGAGACCAAAUAAAAGCACCAAAGAAGAAAUCAAAUCAUCGGUAUCAUAAUUUUAAGCGCCUCUCUCUGACGGGAACAGAACAUUCUGGAGAGAAAGAAAAGAACAAACAGCGGUAAAGUCAGCACUUGAGGAAACGUUUAUGUCCCUUGUUUGUCUGUAAUG
Molecule: long non-coding RNA, 405 nt
Organism: Cyprinus carpio (common carp)
Lineage: Eukaryota; Metazoa; Chordata; Actinopteri; Cypriniformes; Cyprinidae
Exons: 3
Source: RefSeq, a predicted model, not a curated record